AUGUGUUUUAAAAUAUAUAUAUUAAACACAGUACUCACAUUAGAAGUAAUAAUAACUAGGAUGAAAGAGCAGAAACGUAAGAGGAAAAAAACAUGCAAACUUCAUUCUAAUCUUAUUUCUUAUAGCCCUUUCCUUUUCCUUGGCCCUUAUAAUGCCUUUUUACUUAAAAAAAAAAAAAAAAACCACCAAAAUAUUGUGUUUACUUUUGCAAACUGCCUGCUUCUCAUGUCUGUGCUUCACCCCAGAUCUUCUCUCAGGCUAUGGGCAUCAUAUCACUUGUGGUUCAGAGUUGGUCCUGCCCCACUGAUCUACAAAAAACAUGGUUUGUUUUAUCUUGAGUGAACCACUGAAUCUAUAACUAACAAACUGAUUUUAAAGCAACAGCUUCCCCUGGAGCCCAGUGCUGUGGUGUUUUGGAGUCAGGCGUGAAUCUAAGCUCAUGUUGACCACCACCUAGUUGUCUCAGGUGGGUCAAUUCAUUUACUUAAGAGCAAUGAGCUUUUGUUUCCACAGCUGUAAAAUACACAAUUCCCUUCUUAACUGGAUUUAUAAAAGUUACAAAACUUAUAAAUACUUUUUAUAAACUGUCAAAAAAUACAGAUGUGUAUGAAGAGUUGUUAUUCUUACCUGUCAUUCCAGCCAUCCUGAUGUAAUUAAUAUUUUGAUGUGAAUCCUCAUUUGUCUUUCUCUAUAUGCUUUCAAGUUUAUAGCAAUAUAGCAUCUUACCACAUAUUGAGAGCUCAAAAAAUCUAUGUUAAGUGAAUAAAAUAAGGUAUAUAUAUAUAUAUAGACACACACACACACAGAGAUAUAUUAUACACAGGAGUUUUUCCUUUUUAUAAAAAUAAGACCUGACUGUAUGUAUUAUUCCACAGCAUGCUUUUGUUGAUGUGAUUUCUGAUUGAUUCAUUUUUUUUUUUUUGCCUAUAAAACACUGCAGUAACGAACUUCCUUGUACAUAAACCAUUAUGUACUGGUGCUUUCGUUUUUAAAAAUGUUCUUCAAUGUAAGAUUGUGGAGUCUAAAGUAGGCACUUUAAAUUUUUGAAUAGAUAUUGUCAGUUACUUUCCAAAACUAGUUAUAGUAGUGUACAUGUUUACCAUCAAUAUAUGGACUUUUCAUUUCUUAAAAUGGGAAUUCUAAUACUUACAUUGUAGAAUUAUUAAGAAGAUAUGAUAACUUGCUUUCCCUCUGUCUUUGUAGAUAGGGUGCCUGGCAUACAGUUGUGCCAAAAGGCUUUUUUAUUUUUUUCCCAUUUUCAUUUCCAUGCUUUCUUGUUACUGGAUAUGUCUCAUGAAAACUCUGACAUCUUUCUACCUUUCUCAUUGACUGUCACAAGGAAUGUGAAAUGUGUGGGAAACAGGAUCCAACUAAAGUCAAAAUAGUUUCUGCUUAUGUAAGUGCUCUUCGGACUAACCUUACCAGUUAGAAGAAUAUCUUUCUGUUGGCCACAAAGCGAACCCUAGACAAGGUGACUGUGUACCUCACAGCUGGCCCAGCACAGUCUCUGUUUUUGCCUGUCGUUGCAGUGUCCUUUCUGUUUAGUGCCUCUUGUCACUUUCAAAAGUGCCCCUAUUUAUGUGGUUACCCUGUCUAAAGCUAAAAAUGGUCUAUUUAAAACAGCAGGAAAAAGAACAGAUUAAAGCUUAUAGAUGAAAUUAGAGAGGGGCAAAAACACUUAAAGACUUUACUGUAGAGGGGCUAAGUCACCCAAUAGGCAGCAAGACUUAAAAAGCUUAAGGCAUUAAGGAAGAACAAAAUGGAAAUAAUCAAUUAAACUUUUUCUCCUCUUUUGCCUGGAUGAGUGAAAAUGAAAGUUUCCAGUUGAGUAUGUCUGAGAGAUUAUCCCAGUUAAUGUUAGGAUGAAGAUUUAUAUAGUGUGCACAUUACUGCUUUGCCUUGGGAACCAGAAAUGUGGAGUGUUUAUUAAGUAGGUUUCUGUUUUUGUUGAACAGGUAUUUUUCUCUUAUGACCUGGUUCCACUGUAUGAUUACAUCUCUUUGCAUAAUUUGUAUUUGAUAUAUGUAUAAAUCCCCGUUUUGAACAGACCAUAUGGAAAGCUCCACGAGUGCCCUGGGAACCAGGGGUAUGCAGUGAUUAACCAUGGGUUCUGCUAUUUGUGCAGCAGAUGAGCAGAGCUGUGAAAUAAAAGGCAUCACACAAUGGUUUCAUCGCCCUUAUUUUGUCCUUUGUUUGGUGAUGCUUUACUAAGGAUAAGAAAGUAAAACAAAAUAAAAAGAAAUCCCAGACAAGCAAGGAAGAGAAAUGGUAAAUAGUUUUUCAGAAUAGAAUUGAAGGAGG
This is a long non-coding RNA of Papio anubis (olive baboon), 2301 nucleotides long. NCBI's taxonomy places the organism in Eukaryota, Metazoa, Chordata, Mammalia, Primates, Cercopithecidae. The record is from Ensembl.